This 603-nucleotide ribosomal RNA is filed under the name Bacillaceae bacterium GUDS1492. Its description in RNAcentral is "bacterial SSU rRNA". It matches the Rfam family "Bacterial small subunit ribosomal RNA", at positions 61 to 634 of the family's 1533-position model. Lineage: Bacteria; Bacillati; Bacillota; Bacilli; Caryophanales; Bacillaceae. The record is from RNAcentral.
GUCGAGCGCAGGAACCAGAUGACCCCUUCGGGGUGAUUCUGGUGGAAUGAGCGGCGGACGGGUGAGUAACACGUGGGCAACCUGCCUGUAAGACUGGGAUAACUUCGGGAAACCGGAGCUAAUACCGGAUAGUAUUUCCUUUCUCCUGAUUGGAAAUGGAAAGACGGUUUCGGCUGUCACUUACAGAUGGGCCCGCGGUGCAUUAGCUAGUUGGUGGGGUAAUGGCCCACCAAGGCGACGAUGCAUAGCCGACCUGAGAGGGUGAUCGGCCACACUGGGACUGAGACACGGCCCAGACUCCUACGGGAGGCAGCAGUAGGGAAUCUUCCGCAAUGGACGAAAGUCUGACGGAGCAACGCCGCGUGAGCGAUGAAGGCCUUCGGGUCGUAAAGCUCUGUUGUUAGGGAAGAACAAGUACGAGAGUAACUGCUCGUACCUUGACGGUACCUAACCAGAAAGCCCCGGCUAACUACGUGCCAGCAGCCGCGGUAAUACGUAGGGGGCAAGCGUUGUCCGGAAUUAUUGGGCGUAAAGGGCUCGUAGGCGGUUUCUUAAGUCUGAUGUGAAAGCCCACAGCUCAACUGUGGAGGGUCAUUGGAAACU